This 416-nucleotide ribosomal RNA is filed under the name uncultured microorganism. Its description in RNAcentral is "bacterial SSU rRNA". It matches the Rfam family "Archaeal small subunit ribosomal RNA", at positions 330 to 747 of the family's 1478-position model. The record is from RNAcentral.
GCGCAGCAGUCGCGAAACCUUCGCAAUGCGGGAAACCGCGACGAGGGGACUCCCAGUGCCUACGCUCAGCGUAGGCUGUUCCCGAGCCUAGAAAGCUCGGGGAGUAAGGGCUGGGUAAGACGGGUGCCAGCCGCCGCGGUAAUACCCGCAGCCCGAGUGGUGGCCACUAUUAUUGGGCCUAAAGCGUCCGUAGCCGGCCCGGUAAAUGCCUGGGUAAAUCGUGAGGCCUAACCUCACGAAUUCCGGGUAGACUGCCGGGCUAGGGACCGGAGGAGGGAGAGGGUACUCCGAGGGGUAGGGGUGAAAUCCUGUAAUCCCUGGAGGACCACCGGUGGCGAAGGCGCUCUCCUAGGACGGGUCCGACGGUGAGGGACGAAAGCCAGGGGAGCGAACCGGAUUAGAUACCCCCGUAGUCC